AAAGUUUUCGUGAAUUCGAUCAAGUGUAGUAUCUGUUCUUAUCAGUUUAAUCGCUGAUACGUCCUCGAUGUGAGGACCGACGCAUUAAACGCAUUUUUGGUGCCGGGAGCGGGCCUCAGAGCUUGCUCCAGCCCCUCCACGAAUCGGCCCGGUAUUGCAGUGCCUCUUUUUCUUUCUUUCUUU
Small nuclear RNA from Alligator mississippiensis (American alligator), 183 nucleotides. It matches the Rfam family "U2 spliceosomal RNA". From Rfam's summary of the family: U2 is a small nuclear RNA (snRNA) component of the spliceosome (involved in pre-mRNA splicing). Complementary binding between U2 snRNA (in an area lying towards the 5' end but 3' to hairpin I) and the branchpoint sequence (BPS) of the intron results the bulging out of an unpaired adenosine, on the BPS, which initiates a nucleophilic attack at the intronic 5' splice site, thus starting the first of two transesterification reactions that mediate splicing. Lineage: Eukaryota; Metazoa; Chordata; Crocodylia; Alligatoridae. The record is from Rfam.